Molecule: long non-coding RNA, 2318 nt
Organism: Clupea harengus (Atlantic herring)
Lineage: Eukaryota; Metazoa; Chordata; Actinopteri; Clupeiformes; Clupeidae
Source: Ensembl
AGCAGAUGAACAGAGAAGAUUAGCUGGGGCUGUUUAUAAAUAGUGCUCCGCCCAAGACUAAGAACAGCAACGGAGGAAUGUCCACCUCAAUGCAAACUGUCUUGCUGCACAAUUUAAAAAUAUUAUUAAUCAGAUUUUUAAAUCAGAAAUGCUUUGGCAAUCACCAGACAACCACCUGUCAUGGAUGUAAGAAAGGAAUCGUGCCCCUGUGGCCCUUAUGUGUAAUGAAACAGAGCAGGCAAUACCCAGAAUACCAUCAACUCCCCAUUACUUGCUGCAGAGAAAUGGCCGUCUUGGCCACACUAAUGAGAUGGAAGACGGGUGACAAUCCCAUGCCGCGGUGAAACACAAAGACAAAUAUGCACUGAAUGCCAGCGAUGGCCCUUCAUGCUUUGCAGCCCCGCAUUGUAAUUUGACAAGAAAGAGGUACUAGAAAUUUCUAUGCAAAUACCUGGAUAACUGAAACAAAUGCCCCUAUGGUAACAUAGCAUAUGUUCACACCAUCUUGAUGCAAUAACUGAAAAACUUUAGCUUGGUUUUCGAUAAAUGGAGUCUGUAAAUAAUGAGUUAAAGGCAAAGCUCAGAAUAGUGUUUCACCUAUAAGACAAAAAUAACUGGAAAUGAUGUCAGACUACCUUCACGCACCAGGCAGGAUUAGCAUGUGCUGUGUUACGUGUUGUUGAUAAGGAGACUCACCCCACCCUUCACAUCCACUACCAUCACCACCACCACCACCACCUCACAGUCAUCCACCUUAAUCUGAGAUAAUCUAAGCCUCUGGGCUCACGUGAACAGGCGGUAGCAGCAGAGAGCAGUGAUAGGAAUAGCCACACGCUAACUUGGCUAGCGAAGCUCCAGCACAGCGGGAGCCAUGGACCUUUGGUGGUGAAGCUCGCCGACAGCCUGGAUCGCCGGCGGGGGAGGACCGAAGACCAUGUGCACCACUAUGAUGGUCCUCACCACCGUGGCCCUACUUGUACGACGGCACUUCAACAACAAAGUCAGGCCGCAAUCCGGUGACCCCGGCGAAGAAGACCCAGAACACAUGCCAAGCAGCCAGGCGUCAACUGCCCAGAAAUGACCGUGCCUCAUGCAUCGCUGGGGCAACAGCAAACGGAAGAUGUGGGUGCAGGAUGUGCAGAGUCUCCUAAAUUCAAUGGCUCAACAGCUGAGUGCUUCUCUGGAGAGGUACCCAAGACCCGAGCACACUUCCGCCUCCGCUCACCGCCGCUAUCGGCCCUCUCAGAGCAGAUUGCGACUGCCUCCCAUAUCAACAGCAUCACCAGCCCCACAUCGCCACGGCUAAUCCACUACCCUGAGUCUCUUCUAAUUGGCACCGAGAUGCUUCAGGAACGGACACUAAAACAGGAUCUGACACGGGAGCCAACUCCAAUACAAAACACCAAUUUGUAUCUAUUGAGGGUUAUCAAGUAAGCAUUAGAGCCCACAGACUAGAGAGUUGUUCUUCCCAGCCUCAUCGCUGGUGGCAGCUGUUUGUAAAAGUAUGGAGACAAAAAAAAAAACUAUGGAAAUAAUGAUGUGUCUUAUGACAAAGGGAAAGCUUGCAAGGUGUCUUUUGGCCAGAUAGAUAGUGUUGUGUUUUUUAACUGGUCAUGUUUAAUAUUUAGAGGAACUAUCAUGGGGUAGUUGAGCUGUAUGUCAGAAUCACGUACAAUAACGUGUAGUCAAUAAGGGCGAUGAGAAUGUGUCUGUAAAGAGCAGAAUUUGUCCAAAUAUAUUCUGGGGAUGGGUUUACAAACGCUGAGCUCUUACGAGAUGAUAACUGAUCAUUUAUGUUUAGUGUUAUGGUUGUAUGCAAGGGUUCACCUGGUCUAAAAAUGUAUCCUACUAAAACGUAUACUCUUCUGAAUAAAAGAGUGGUCUAUACGGAGUGGACAUGGUUGUGUGGUUUAUCUGUCUAAUGCUUUAGAAUGUAUAUUAAGUGCUGUGUUCCUUGACUUCCUUGACCCUGAGCAAAAUGCUAAAGAAACAUUGAAAUAUAAAAUAUAAAAUAUUUUUAAAAUACUUCAGGAAAUCUUUCAUCCCAAACCAAACUGUCCUAACAGUCAACAAAACAACCCGACUUCUUCCCGGUACAUCACAUGUGCAGUUUGUGCCGGUGGGGUCACUCUGAACCGUCGUCCACACAGUUUAAGCCUCCCACACAGCUUUUGAGGAACUGAGCAACGUGCUAUUAGAGUGGGCAGUGUGUGUGUCUGCGUGUUUGUGUGUGUGUGUGUGUGUGUGUGUGUGUGUGUGUGUGUGUGUGUGUGUGUGUGUGUGUCUGUGUGUGUGUGUUUGUGUGUGUGUGUGUGUGU